ACUAGCAGUAAGAGUUUGAUCCUGGCUCAGGACAAACGCUGGCGGCGUGCCUUACGCAUGCAAGUCGAGCGACGGACCACCUUCGGGUGGUUACGGAGCGGCGGACGGGUGAGUAACACGUAAGUAACCUGCCCAGAAGCGGGGGACAACUCUCCGAAAGGGGAGCUAAUACCGCAUGUGUCCACUGGUUUGUUCCAGUGGGUAAACCUUUGGGUUUCUGGAGGGGCUUGCGGCCGAUUAGCUAGUUGGUGGGGUAAUGGCUCACCAAGGCAGUUAUCGGUAGCUGGUCUGAGAGGACGAUCAGCCACACGGGGACUGAGACACGGCCCCGACUCCUACGGGAGGCAGCAGCGAGGAAUCUUGGUCAAUGGGCGAAAGCCUGAACCAGCGACGCCGCGUGGGGGAUGAAGGCCUUCGGGUCGUAAACCCCUUUUGCCAGGGAAGAAGAUCUGACGGUACCUGGCGAAUAAGCCACGGCUAACUACGUGCCAGCCGCCGCGGUAAUUC
This 507-nucleotide ribosomal RNA is filed under the name uncultured bacterium. Its description in RNAcentral is "bacterial SSU rRNA". It matches the Rfam family "Bacterial small subunit ribosomal RNA", at positions 1 to 526 of the family's 1533-position model. The record is from RNAcentral.